Molecule: transfer RNA, 73 nt
Organism: Camelus ferus (Wild Bactrian camel)
Lineage: Eukaryota; Metazoa; Chordata; Mammalia; Artiodactyla; Camelidae
Rfam family: tRNA
About the family: Transfer RNA (tRNA) molecules are approximately 80 nucleotides in length.
Source: Rfam
GAGGCUAUAGCUCAAGUGGUAGAAUGCCUGCUUAGCAUGCAGGAGGUCCUGGGUUCAAUUCCCAGUACCUCCU